GGAAGUAAAAGUCGUAGCAAGGUCUCCGUAGGUGAACCUGCGGAGGGAUCAUUAACGAAUGGUCAUCCUUGAUCUUCUACCCUCAAACACCGUGGACGUCAGACGUGCUUCGGCGCCGAGAGGCGCCGCCUUUAUGCUCAAAGGCCUAUGUAGUCUGUAUUAAGAAAUGUCAAAACUUUCAACAAAGGAUCUCUUGGCUCUC
This 202-nucleotide unclassified non-coding RNA is filed under the name plant metagenome. Its description in RNAcentral is "partial contains small subunit ribosomal RNA and internal transcribed spacer 1". The stretch from base 1 to 54 matches the Rfam family "Eukaryotic small subunit ribosomal RNA", at positions 1778 to 1831 of the family's 1831-position model. The record is from RNAcentral.